This 4205-nucleotide long non-coding RNA is filed under the name Marmota monax (woodchuck). The stretch from base 1203 to 1271 matches the Rfam family "tRNA". Lineage: Eukaryota; Metazoa; Chordata; Mammalia; Rodentia; Sciuridae. The record is from RNAcentral.
AAUUAAUCUGCCACCUCUUUUUCUGCCAUAGAUUGCCUUCUCUUAACACAUCAACUUUAUGGACCUGGUGCAGUUCUUCAUGACUUUUCUUCAGGUAAUUUCCUUCAUAUAAAUCAUACCUGUCCUUUUGAUUAAGUCCUUAACUGCAUAAUCAGCUGUUAGCUCAUAAAAGAUAAAGGAAUAGCCAGAUGCGGUGGCACUCACCUAUAAUCCCAGCUUGAGACAAGAAGAUUGCAAGUCAAAUCAAUUUGGUAAUUUAGUGAAACCCUUUCUCAAAAUUUAAAAGUGUGAAGGGCUGGGAUACAGCUCAGUGCUAGAGCACCCCUGGGUUCAAUCCCUAGUCCUAUAAAAAUUAAAAUUAAAAAGAUAAGAUAAUAAUUCUAUGUUUCCCAACAGACCAAAAUUACUUUAUAUGUAUCCUGAAAAAUUGCGAAUCAGUUACAUUAAUGUAAACUCAGUCUAAGUUGACAAAAGGGAAAUAUUUGAUUUGCAGGUUCUGGCUUGGGGAGGCAGUUUUGCAUGUACCCUAUACUAAAUUACAGAUAAUCUGAAUCUUGGGAAGAAUUUGGCACUAAAUGUUAAUAAUGGUUACUGAUGUGAGCUACAUAUAUGCUUCCUCUUGGUUUAAGAGAUAAUUAUGGGGCUGGGGAUGUGGCUCAAGCGGUAGCGCGCUCGCCUGGCAUGCGUGCAGCCCGGGUUCGAUCCUCAGCACCACAUACAAACAAAGAUGUUGUGUCCGCCGAAAACUAAAAUAAAUAAAUAUUUAAAAAAAAAGAGAUAAUUAUUCCAGUAAUUAAUUAUGCAGUUUUGAAGCUAAAAGUGAUUUUUUUUUAGCCCCUGGGAUUCUCUCUUUUAUUUUCAUAGUAUUUCUUAUUUUAAUUUUAUUUUUCUGGAAAUACUAUUUAGAGACAAUUGAAAAAGAUUAAAAUGUGCUACCAUUCUUUAUAAGAGAAAGUAACAGCAGCCUUCCUCACACCUUCCCACUCCCUUCUCUCCCAAUUUAAAUUGUUCUGGCUGUGUUUUACCUCUCUCCAGUUAUCUCUUGAUGCCCUCUAGAAGAUGAGGGUUUACUCUUACAUUGCCCCAUCCAGCAACUCCCCCCACCCAGCAACACAAGUGGGAAUAAUUUCCCAUUUCAGCCCCAGCCUAAAUGUCUUUAUUUUUAUCCUCACAAUUUGAUUAAGAAUUUGAUUACUGGGGUUGGGGUUGUGGCUCAGCGGUAGAGCACUUGCUUCACAUGUGUGAGGCUCUGGGUUCCAUCCUCAGCACCACAUAAAAAUAAAUAAACAAAAUAAAGGUAUUUUGUCCAUUUACAACUGAAAAAAAGUUAAAAAAAGAACUUGAUCACUAAAUUUUAGAUUGGGAUUAAUUUCCCACUUAAGCUAUUUUCAAAUAAAAAUUUAAGGUAUUUUGCCACAGAACAGUUAAAAGAAUAACAGAGAUAGGUGCAGUGACAUACACCUAUAAUCCCAGCUACUUGGGAGGCUGAGGCAGGAAGAUCUUAAGUUUGAGGCCAGACUCAGCAACUUAGUGAGACCCUGUCCCAUAGUUUUUAAUAAAAGGGCUGUUAAUGUAGCUCAGGACUAGAGUGCCCUAGGUUUAAUCUCCAAUACUGGAGGAAAAGAACAAAAGCAUGUAUUAUUAUAAAACACAUUCCUCUCAAUAAAUUAGAAAAAAAGAAGUGCUCAUUAAGCCUAAAGAAAGUAUCGGAGCAGGGAGUGGCCGUGCAAGCCUGUAAUCCCAGUGACUUGGGAGGUUGAGGUAGGACGAUAGCAAGUACAAGGUCAGCCUGGGCAAUUUAGUGAGACCCUGAGCAACUUAGGAAGACCCUGCUUCAAAAUAGAAAAACAAAAAAGGUUGGGCAUGUAUUUCAUUGUUAAAGUGCUUCUGAGUGCAAUCUCCCUAGUUCGAAAAAAGUUAAAAUUGAAAAAAAAAAAAGAAAGAAGAAGGAAGUGUGGAAUGUAAAUAAGUAUAGAAAUCAAUGACCUAAGAACGAAAGUCCAGUAGACUGGAUUAAAAGGACCAUAACUUAUUUUUUUUUUCUUUUUUGGUACCAGGGAUUGCACCCAGCAGCACUUAACCACUGAGCCAUAUCCCCAGCCUUUUUUUUUUUUUUAAAUUUCUAGAUGGUCUUGCUAAAUUGUUGAGGCUAGCCUUGAAUUUGGAAUCUCCUGCCUCAGCCUCAGAAGUUGCUGGGAUUACAGGCAUGCGCCACAGUGCCCAACUGCUAAAUUGGAUAUUUGAAAAGAAUAAUAUUAUAAAUACCAAUGUUGGAAAUAAAAAAGGGAGGAUUACUCUAAAUCCUACACUUUCCCCUCAGAAAAGUAUUUAAUAAACAACUGCAUGUGAAUAAAUUUGAGAAUAUAAAAGAUGGAACAGAAACAUUUAUAAAAAGGACUAUUUACAACUUAACAAAACUGACCCAGAAGAAAUAGAAAACCUGAAUAAUCCAUGUUUAUUUCAAAAAACAAUACAUAGUUUAAAUUUUCCCACAAUGAAAACUGUCGGCCUUGUGGCUUCAUUGGUAACAUAGCCUUUUAAGAAAGAAAUAAUAUCUGGGCUGGGGAUAUAGCUCAGCUGGUAGAGUGCUUGCCUUACAUGCACAAGGCCCUCGGUUCAAUCCACAGCACCACAAAAAAGAAAGAAAUAAUAUCAAUAUAAGUAAAUCUUGAGAAAGGAUAAAGAAGGAGAGACUGCGAUUUGUGUUACGAUCUUAGCACAAUCUGACAAGAAUAUCAUAAGAAAGAAAUUUACAAGUCACUCUCACUUAAGAAUGAAGAAACAAAAUCUGUCAAUAAUAAAAAAUGCUAAUAAAUCAUGACCCUGUGGGUUUAUGUAGAAAUGGCAAGAUUGAUUUAGCAUCAGACAGGCAAUCAGUAUAAUUCACAUUAAUUGCAUAAAGGAGGAGAAUAAUAAUGAUCAUCUUCAUUGCUCAGGGAAAAAUUUAAUAAAAAGUUAAUAUCUCUUCAUUUAAAAACCUCAGAAAACUAGGAAUAGAAAGAAAUUUCUUUAAAUCUGAUGAAAGAUCUAUAGAAAGUCAGCAGCAAAAUACAUUCUUAAUGAAGAAUGAGACAGAUAUCUGCUAUCACUUCUAUUCCACAUUGUAAUGGAGGUUCUAACCACUACCAAAAUACACACAAAAAAGUAAGUAAGUACAUAAAUAAAUAAAGGUUGAAAAGGAUAAACAUCAUCAUUACUCAUGGCAUAAUUGUAUUCCUAAAAUUUCUAAAGAAUCUACAGAUAAAGCAUUAAAUAUAAUGAGAUAGGGUAGCGGGGGAAAUAGGUAUGGAGGAAGGACUCCUGCAGACAGCCUGGGAUCUGCCUCAGUCCCUGGCAUCCUGCCACUAACCGAUCGGGCAAAACCCGAUUGGUCAUAAAGAUCAAUCUUUAUGACAAGAUGGCCUUGCUCUCCAAGCCAGCUCCCACUGGUUUCAUACACGGGCACACCAGAAGAAUCUCCUGACCAAACUUGACCUUUCUACUCAUUUCGACUGAUUACCAUGUGUUGUCACCCACCCUUUAGCUGCAUGAUUUGAUGCUAAUGAAGUUGGGUAAGAUUCCAUGAAGAGUCUCCCAGAAAAGUUUCUCCAUACUGAACCCCUGCUUCUGAAUAUUCACUCUCUUAAACAUUAUAAACCACAUCCCACCUAAGAGGCAGCUCAGCUCCUAGGGUGUGUAUCUUUUGCUUUCAAACAACCUCUUCCUCUGCUACUAAAACUUGAAGUGUCCUGAAAUUCCUUUCUGUGACCAUGGUCAAGAGCCUGGAGAGUUCAAAUGAAGGUUUCCUCUGCUCUAAAGAGAGACCCCUGAGACCCCUAGCCAGUGACACUAAUAUGUGAAUUUAGUAAAGUCACUAGGCACAAAAGCAAUGUAGCUCUCUUCAGGGUCUUAUCAUAAGGGUGAUGCUGACAUGAGAACCAUGCAAUUGUAUUUCCCACAGCAAACCAUCAGGUGGCCACCUCGAGGACCCUUUGUACCAUGAAAGCAGAAAUCUCUUCCUGGGUGAUGCUGGGAGCUGAUGGUCUUGAGUCAAGACUCAUCCACAUCUUGAUGGACCCACUCUGCCUGAUAUGAGCUGACGAGAUUGAAAAAGAGACCUAUUGACAAGAUCCAGCUCGACCCUCUUAAUCAGUUUCACUUGAAAUAUGUUAUUUGUACUUCAGUUGCUAAUGCAUUUUGUUCUCCUGAGUGCCGGAGACCAAGCG